Molecule: transfer RNA, 76 nt
Filed under: bacterium
Lineage: Bacteria
Also listed under: 3 other names
Description: tRNA-Lys
Rfam family: tRNA
About the family: Transfer RNA (tRNA) molecules are approximately 80 nucleotides in length. Their secondary structure includes four short double-helical elements and three loops (D, anti-codon, and T loops).
Source: RNAcentral
GGGGCGUUAGCUCAGUCGGUAGAGCAGCUGGCUUUUAACUAGUUGGUCCCGCGUUCGAGUCGCGGACGCCCCACCA